AUCUACUCUUCCCAGGCCCAGUUCCACCCGGCUCCACCCAAUUUCAUUCCUUUCUCUUCCCCAAAGAGGUAGGAGGUACAAGUAUGUGAUACCCCACUUCUGGCUUCCUCAAAAGCUUAAGGAAAAGCAGCUCCACACUCACUCCCAACCCACAGAUGGAUUCGCCCACCAGAGAAUAGGGCCGUGUGGAAAGGGUAGGGGCUGCACGGGGAAGCCUAUCACUCUUAAGUAGACAAUUGAUGAUGGGGUUCAGGUGCAACAGUCUUUUUGGCAAUGGCUCUCUUCCUAGAAGUGCAAUGCAAAGCAGACAAGCCGGUUGCCAGGUGCAUUCAGGGAAGGAGGUGCAAAAAGUGAUAGCUAAUCUAUGGACUUUGCCCAGCUGGCCUGCCCUGGCCCCCACAACUCUUGGAAGUGAUCUGAAAAGGUAUGAAACCAAGGAGGCAAGGCACACUCGGGAUUGCACAGGCUCAUCCCCUCCUCUUGCCUGAGAUUAGAAGGGCGGGGGUAAAGGCAGGACAUCCAGAGGCAUCCAGCCAGGAUCUUAGCUCCAGUAAAGCCAAGGAAUGAAUGAAUGGCCACAGGCUACUCUGCAGGGCACUCACAGCCUCGCCUUCACCAAGGCCCAGUCCACAAGGGCAAGGCUUGCAAGAGAGGAAGGAGGAAUCGCGGAGCAGCAAACCAAAGCCAGGCCUGUGUCUUGAGAGGGCUUCUCACCAAGGGAAGCUUCCAGGGCCUUCUCCAAAGCACCAUAUUCAAGCACUGGAUGCUGCUUGGACAUAUCAAUUGAGGUCCCAGAGAAAUCAGUAUGGGGAGAAGAAGGACUUGGAAUCACACAAACAUGGGUCCGAACCCUGCUUGCCCUUCCCAGCUGGGUAAACUCCAGGC
This 885-nucleotide long non-coding RNA is filed under the name Homo sapiens (human). Its description in RNAcentral is "HSALNT0213130". Lineage: Eukaryota; Metazoa; Chordata; Mammalia; Primates; Hominidae. The record is from RNAcentral.